Molecule: transfer RNA, 24 nt
Filed under: Strychnos toxifera
Lineage: Eukaryota; Viridiplantae; Streptophyta; Magnoliopsida; Gentianales; Loganiaceae
Description: partial tRNA-His
Source: RNAcentral
GGCGGAGAGCCAACGUCUGACGGU